This is a long non-coding RNA of Musa acuminata AAA Group (dessert banana), 1489 nucleotides long. RefSeq lists it as uncharacterized. Lineage: Eukaryota; Viridiplantae; Streptophyta; Magnoliopsida; Zingiberales; Musaceae. The transcript is spliced from 6 exons. The record is from RefSeq and is a predicted model, not a curated record.
GACAAGAUGUGUCCUGUCGUCGUGGAAUCGAACGACGCCGAGUUUGACGAAAAACGAAGCGAACUCGUGUCACGGCUUUCGGUCAUCUCUUAAGCCGCGACUGGAGUUCCUCUUUCCCUGGCUUAAUCGGGACACGAAGCGUGUGCCGCCGUGGAAGAAGCGGCGAUCUCCAGAGUGCCGCGGCGUCGAUGGCGACGCGGUACCCCCGGAUGCCCCCUGUCGGGAGGUCAUCCCGGUACGGGCUGAUCCUGCGGCGCUCGUCACGGUGUCGGUGGUUCAUGCUACUCGCUCGCGGAGUCUUCUCUCUUCCCGUGGAUUCGAACGGCCCUACCAAGUCCGACCACCUCCUCCGUCGGUCUAUCUACGAGGCCAAGGACGGGAUGGGGCGGGGGGAGGCGAUCAGUGGGCGGAGGUGCUCUCGUGGGAACCCAGUGCGUUCAAAUAUCACAAUUUCCUGUCCAGGAAAGAAUGUGAAUACCGAUGGCAAAGCCUCACAUGAAGAAGCCAACAGUUGUUGACAGUACUACUGGUCAGAAGAAAGACAACAGGUUCAGGCAUGUUUUCUUAAAAGAGGACAAGAUAAAUCAUCCGAUCAAUUGAAAAAAUGAUUGCAGAUUACACCUUCAUACCUGCAGUAUGGCACUGAUACCAGUCGCAUGCCAGAUCGGUAUGGCACCAGUACAUACAAUGUAUCGAGGCUUUGUAUGGAUAUGGAUCACUACUGAUUGAUAGGGAGGGAGGGAGGGAUGAGAGAGAGAGAGAGAGAGUGGCAGGGGAUGGGCAGCAACACCGUGAGAGAAGGAGAAGCCGCAACAACAAAAGAAGAGAAGAAGACAGAAAGAAAGGUUAUAACGGAGGCUGGCACUGAGUGAUAGGCUUACUGCUCAGUAUCAACCAAAGAUGGGUGAUGUAUUACACUUCUGGAACAUGAGGCCUGACGCCACUCUAGAUUCAUCUACUUUGCAUAGUGUGUUGCUUAGUAUUUGACCAGCUAAAUCAAAUCUAGAUUUUAAUUGUUUUUGUUGUUUACAGCUAGGUUUCGAUUACUGACUAUAUAUUGAAAUUUUCAUAACGUUAUCAAACCUGGUGCAGGUGGAUGUCCUGUUAUUAGAGGAAAUAAGUGGCCUUCUACAAAAUGGAUGUGCAUGAGCUUAAUUAUAAAACUAAAGAAGGGGUGGGUGUUUCAUGCGGCUGCUGCAUGAGAAGAAUUUUACAUUAGUUUCUCCUCAUGGAUGCCUUUUUGAGUUCUGUAAACUCUCCUUAGAUCACAUAGAGUCUUAGUUAAGGUGUGUUCUCAUCGAGAAUAGGAAUGGUUUAUUUAUCUGAGGUGGUAUUUAUACUUUUGCAGUCAGUUAUACUCCUCAAGAUGCCAUUCUAAAGUUGUUCUUUGUAUUGUACUGAAUUGAACACACAUCAAACAGUAAGCAACUGAUAUGGCAGUAAAAGAGCAGAAGGCAAAUUAGAUGCCUUAGUUUUGUUUUUUGUGCAA